This 253-nucleotide ribosomal RNA is filed under the name uncultured bacterium. Its description in RNAcentral is "partial 16S ribosomal RNA". It matches the Rfam family "Bacterial small subunit ribosomal RNA", at positions 524 to 776 of the family's 1533-position model. The record is from RNAcentral.
UACGAAGGGGGCUAGCGUUGCUCGGAAUUAUUGGGCGUAAAGGGCGCGUAGGCGGACAGUUUAGUCAGAGGUGAAAGCCCAGGGCUCAACCUUGGAAUUGCCUUUGAUACUGGCUGUCUUGAGUUCGGGAGAGGUGAGUGGAAUGCCGAGUGUAGAGGUGAAAUUCGUAGAUAUUCGGAAGAACACCAGUGGCGAAGGCGACUUACUGGACACAUAUUGACGCUGAGGUGCGAAAGCGUGGGGAGCAAACAGG